RNAcentral lists this ribosomal RNA (491 nucleotides) under Veillonella sp. oral taxon 158. RNAcentral describes it as "bacterial SSU rRNA". It matches the Rfam family "Bacterial small subunit ribosomal RNA", at positions 28 to 489 of the family's 1533-position model. Lineage: Bacteria; Bacillati; Bacillota; Negativicutes; Veillonellales; Veillonellaceae. The record is from RNAcentral.
GACGAACGCUGCGCGUGCGUUACACAUGCAAGUCGAACGAAGAGCGAUGGAAGCUUGCUUCUAUCGAUCUUAGUGGCGAACGGGUGAGUUACGCGUAAUCAACCUGCCCUUCAGAGGGGGACAACAGUUGGAAACGACUGCUAAUACCGCAUACGAUCCAACCUCGGCAUCGAGGAUGGAUGAAAGGUGGCCUCUAUUUAUAAGCUAUCACUGAAGGAGGGGAUUGCGUCUGAUUAGCUAGUUGGAGGGGUAACGGCCCACCAAGGCAAUGAUCAGUAGCCGGUCUGAGAGGAUGAACGGCCACAUUGGGACUGAGACACGGCCCAGACUCCUACGGGAGGCAGCAGUGGGGAAUCUUCCGCAAUGGACGAAAGUCUGACGGAGCAACGCCGCGUGAGUGAUGACGGCCUUCGGGUUGUAAAGCUCUGUUAAUCGGGACGAAAGGUCUCUUGCGACAUAGUUAGAGGACAUUGACGGCACCGGACAAGAAA